Molecule: ribosomal RNA, 497 nt
Filed under: uncultured bacterium
Lineage: Bacteria
Description: partial 16S ribosomal RNA
Rfam family: Bacterial small subunit ribosomal RNA
Source: RNAcentral
UGGGGAAUGAUUGCACAAUGGGCGAAAGCCUGAUGCAGCAACGCCGCGUGAGUGAUGAAGGCCUUCGGGUUGUAAAGCUCUGUCUUUUGGGACGAUAAUGACGGUACCAAAGGAGGAAGCCACGGCUAACUACGUGCCAGCAGCCGCGGUAAUACGUAGGUGGCAAGCGUUUGUCCGGAUUUUACUGGGCGUAAAGGAUGCGUAGGCGGAUUUUUAAGUGAGAUGUGAAAACCCUAGCUUAACUUGGGACUGCAUUCAUACUGGAAAUCUAGAGUGCGGGAGAGGAGAAUGGAAUUCCUAGUGUAGCGGUGAAAUGCGUAGAGAUUAGGAAGAACACCAGUGGCGAAGGCGAUUCUCUGGACCGUAACUGACGCUGAGGCAUGAAAGCGUGGGUAGCAAACAGGAUUAGAUACCCUGGUAGUCCACGCCGUAAACGAUGAGUACUAGGUGUAGGAGGUAUCGACCCCUUCUGUGCCGCAGUUAACACAAUAAGUACU